Molecule: transfer-messenger RNA, 161 nt
Filed under: Rhodospirillaceae bacterium
Lineage: Bacteria; Pseudomonadati; Pseudomonadota; Alphaproteobacteria; Rhodospirillales; Rhodospirillaceae
Description: partial transfer-messenger RNA
Rfam family: Alphaproteobacteria transfer-messenger RNA
About the family: Bacterial tmRNA, also known as 10Sa RNA or SsrA, is named for its dual tRNA and mRNA-like properties. Its role is to liberate the mRNA from a stalled ribosome.
Source: RNAcentral
CCCUUGUGCCGCCCCCUCCGGUCUCCCUAUAUUUAAGAUGUCGGGUAACCGACUAUAGCGCUAAAUGGCCUUACGAAAUAAGCGGAACGGACCCGGGGGCAGUACCCGGCGCCUCCACCAGUUUCGGGCGGCACGCUGCGGCGGCCGCCCAAAUGGGGGCG